Molecule: small nuclear RNA, 24 nt
Filed under: Arabidopsis thaliana (thale cress)
Lineage: Eukaryota; Viridiplantae; Streptophyta; Magnoliopsida; Brassicales; Brassicaceae
Description: snRNA_12182
Source: RNAcentral
UGAAAUAAUUUGAAUCAACAACGG